AUUGAACGCUGGCGGCAGGCCUAACACAUGCAAGUCGAACGGUAGCACAGAGAGCUUGCUCCCGGGUGACGAGUGGCGGACGGGUGAGUAAUGUCUGGGAAACUGCCCGAUGGAGGGGGAUAACUACUGGAAACGGUAGCUAAUACCGCAUAACGUCGCAAGACCAAAGUGGGGGACCUUCGGGCCUCACACCAUCGGAUGUGCCCAGAUGGGAUUAGCUGGUAGGUGGGGUAAUGGCUCACCUAGGCGACGAUCCCUAGCUGGUCUGAGAGGAUGACCCGCCACACUGGAACUGAGACACGGUCCAGACUCCUACGGGAGGCAGAAGUGGGGAAUAUUGCACAAUGGGCGCAAGCCUGAUGCAGCCAUGCCGCGUGUAUGAAGAAGGCCUUCGGGUUGUAAAGUACUUUCAGCGGGGAGGAAGGCGGUGAAGUUAAUAACUUCACCGAUUGACGUUACCCGCAGAAGAAGCACCGGCUAACUCCGUGCCAGCCGCCGCCGUAA
RNAcentral lists this ribosomal RNA (504 nucleotides) under uncultured bacterium. Its description in RNAcentral is "partial 16S ribosomal RNA". It matches the Rfam family "Bacterial small subunit ribosomal RNA", at positions 30 to 523 of the family's 1533-position model. The record is from RNAcentral.